RNAcentral lists this ribosomal RNA (339 nucleotides) under uncultured bacterium. RNAcentral's name for it is "bacterial SSU rRNA". It matches the Rfam family "Bacterial small subunit ribosomal RNA", at positions 29 to 346 of the family's 1533-position model. The record is from RNAcentral.
AGCGAACGCUGGCGGCGUGCCUAACACAUGCAAGUCGAGCGCGGGCAUUUCGGGGGUAACCCGGGACUGUGCUGAGCGGCGGACGAGUGAGUAAUACGUGGACAACCUGCCUUAAAGCUUGGGAUAAGUCCGGGAAACUGGAGCUAAUACCGGAUAAGACCACGGUGUCUAUGGAUGCUGAGGUAAAAGGCGGCCAGGAAACUGGCUGUUGCUUAAAGAUGGGUCCACGUCCCAUCAGGUAGUUGGUGAGGUAAAGGCUCACCAAGCCAAAGACGGGUAGCUGGCCUUAGCGGGUGGUCAGCCACACGGGGACUGAGACACGGCCCCGACUCUACGGGA